AGUCGAACGGCAGCACGGGAGCUUGCUUCUGGUGGCGAGUGGCGAACGGGUGAGUAAUGUAUCGGAACGUACCCAGUCGUGGGGGAUAACUCUCCGAAAGGAGAGCUAAUACCGCAUACGUCCUGAGGGGGAAAGCGGGGGACCUAAGGGUAACUGAGGGCCUCGCGCGAUUGGAGCGGCCGAUAUCGGAUUAGCUAGUUGGUGGGGUAAAGGCUCACCAAGGCGACGAUCCGUAGCGGGUCUGAGAGGACGACCCGCCACACUGGAACUGAGACACGGUCCAGACUCCUACGGGAGGCAGCAGUGGGGAAUUUUGGACAAUGGGGGCAACCCUGAUCCAGCCAUUCCGCGUGAGUGAAGAAGGCCUUCGGGUUGUAAAGCUCUUUCAGCAGGAGCGAAACGGUCGUUUUUAAUACAGACGGCUAAUGACGGUACCUGCAGAAGAAGCACCGGCUAACUCCGUGCCAGCAGCCGCGGUAAU
Molecule: ribosomal RNA, 481 nt
Filed under: uncultured bacterium
Lineage: Bacteria
Description: bacterial SSU rRNA
Rfam family: Bacterial small subunit ribosomal RNA
Source: RNAcentral